AUGCCCCGUGCUCGCAGGCCUCGCCGUGAAUGGUCGGACGGCGUCCCGCCCGAGCUUCUUGGCGUCAUCUUCCUCGACCUGGCCUGCCUCGCCGACCGUGUCUGCUUCGCUGCCGUCUGCCGCGCGUGGCGCUCUGUCGCGCGGGCUGUUGGCGCCCCGCCGGCGCCGCGCCAGCUCCCGUGGCUCCUCCUCCCGUCCCCCGACAAGCCCUCCUUCUUCAGCCUCCACUCGGGGGCCAAACGCCGCCUACGCCUCCCGGAGAGCAUACGCGGCGCGCGCUUGUGUGGCUCCUAUGAUGGCGGUUGGGUCGCUCUAGCCUUCGAGCAGUGGCGAGGGUAUGCGGCCGUCAACCUUCUCUCCGGCGCGACGGUUCUUCUCCCCGACAGGCUCAGGACUGCCCACCCGCUCGCUCCCCAGGCGAACACCUCCUGCGAGCACCACAUGGUCAUCCGCACCAUCACUUUCUCGGGGUCACCCUCAGCAGAGGACUGCCUUGCCGCCGCGCAUGUCUCCAGCGCCUCCAACAUCGCGUUCUGGCGGCCGGGAAUGAAAGAGCACUGGAUCACUUGCGGUGUCGCGGUGGCUCUGGAUGUGAUCCAGGACAUCAUCUAUUACGAGAAUGGGCUGAAGCAAGGUUUCCAUGUCCUGUCAAAUACUGAGGACAUAGUUGUGUACACGCCCAACAGCGUCGAGGGUGCCUCUCUGGUGAUGUCCCGUUCCUCCUACCAGAUCCAGAAGCGCGCUGAUUACAGGCCUGAUAAUCUCAGGCGCAAGUCGCGCACAGUGUCCCGCUAUCUGGUGGAGUCCCGCGGGAAAUUGCUAAUGGUCCUGCGGCUUGCCAGGCGUGGCAAGAAUGGGUUCAGAAUCUUUGAGAUGAACCUUGCGGUUGCUCCCGCUGGGGGCUCUGAAGCUUCUUGGGUGGAGCUCCACUCACUUCCUGGCCGGGUGCUCUUGCUUGGUCGAGGCUGCUCUAGGGCUGUUGAGGUCUCUCAGUUCAAUAGGCUCCAACUGGGUAGCAUCUAUUACUUGGACGAUACUAGCUUCGACAUAUCCUUGGCGUUAAGCAGUGGGAGUAAGUAUUCCAGUACUGACAUGGGUGUUUAUGGUCGCAAAACACUAAAUGGGGCGCGUAGUGUGCGUCGCUUUCCGCGAAAAUUUACUUCAGAGGGCUCCCCACCAAUCUGGUUUAUGCCCUGA
RNAcentral lists this ribosomal RNA (1197 nucleotides) under Triticum aestivum (bread wheat). RNAcentral's name for it is "partial small subunit ribosomal RNA". Lineage: Eukaryota; Viridiplantae; Streptophyta; Magnoliopsida; Poales; Poaceae. The record is from RNAcentral.